Molecule: ribosomal RNA, 482 nt
Filed under: uncultured bacterium
Lineage: Bacteria
Description: partial 16S ribosomal RNA
Rfam family: Bacterial small subunit ribosomal RNA
Source: RNAcentral
AUUGAACGCUGGCGGCAUGCCUUACACAUGCAAGUCGAAUGGUAACAGGUCUUCGGAUGCUGACGAGUGGCGCACGGGUGAGUAAUAUAUCGGAACGUGCCCGAUCGUGGGGGAUAACGAAGCGAAAGCUUUGCUAAUACCGCAUACGAUCUACGGAUGAAAGCAGGGGACCGCAAGGCCUUGCGCGAACGGAGCGGCCGAUGGCAGAUUAGGUAGUUGGUGGGAUAAAAGCUUACCAAGCCGACGAUCUGUAGCUGGUCUGAGAGGACGACCAGCCACACUGGGACUGAGACACGGCCCAGACUCCUACGGGAGGCAGCAGUGGGGAAUUUUGGACAAUGGGCGAAAGCCUGAUCCAGUCAUGCCGCGUGCAGGAUGAAGGCCUUCGGGUUGUAAACUGCUUUUGUACGGAACGAAAAGACUCUGGUUAAUACCUGGGGUCCAUGACGGUACCGUAAGAAUAAGCACCGGCUAACUACGUG